CUUCCCCUCUCUUUCUAUAUAUAUAUGUAUAUAUAUAUACAUAUAUCUGAUUACUGACUUAGUUUUUACUAUUUAAACCUAAGAUUUAAAACCCUUCUGUUCAUAGUCCUUAAACAUGAAACUUAAAAAUUAAGAUUAAGUGUAGAAUUAGCAAUUUAACAGGACAGAUUAAAAUGUGUUUUACUGAAGCCAAAUUAUUUUCAAUGUGAAGAUACUACUACUAUCAUAUAGCAUGCAUUUACAUUGUUUAUUGAUUCCUUGUUAUAACCCAAUUCUUACUUCAAGAGUUAAGAGUGGCAGUUUGGGGAUAGCACCAGGAGAUAUCAGCUGUGAUGGCUUGGAAAAACAGUGUAAACCAGCAGUGUAAACAAGAGCAGGGCAUGUAUGAGUAGUUGAGAACGGUGAAUAGGAGUAUGACUAGACAGAAGAUAGUAGGGAUGACAAGUUUUUUGGGGCACAGUCCAAGUUGGUCUGGUGUCUGGAAUGAGACUGGGGCCUAAUAAAAAGGAGCGUCUAUACAAGAGCUUAAAUGGGCUGUACCCUGUAGCAUUCUGAGGACAGGCCUGAAUUCUGAGAAGGGAAAGUGGUAAAAGUAUUGUCCAGUCCUUUUUAAGUUGGUGGCUGAGCUUGGUGAGGUGUGUCUUUAAAAGACCUUUAGUCCAUUCUACUUUUCUUGAAGACGGAGGACCAUAAGGGAUAUAAAGGUUUCACUGAAUACUAAGAGCCUGAAAAACUGCUUGGCUGAUUUGACUAGUAAAGGCUGGUCUGCUAUCAGACUGUAUAGAGGUGGGAAGGCUAAACUAAGGAAUUAUGUCUGACAGAACGGAAGAAAUGACUGCGGUGGCCUUCUCAGACCCUGUAGGAAAGGCUUGUACCUAUCCAGUGAAAGUGUCUACCUAGACCA
RNAcentral lists this long non-coding RNA (904 nucleotides) under Pan troglodytes (chimpanzee). RNAcentral describes it as "long non-coding RNA NONPTRT001597". Lineage: Eukaryota; Metazoa; Chordata; Mammalia; Primates; Hominidae. The record is from RNAcentral.